GAUGAACGCUGGCGGCGUGCUUAACACAUGCAAGUCGAACGGAAAGGCCCUUGCUUGCUGGGGUACUCGAGUGGCGAACGGGUGAGUAACACGUGGGUGAUCUGCCCUGCACUUCGGGAUAAGCCUGGGAAACUGGGUCUAAUACCGGAUAGGACCAUCGCUUCGGGUCGGUGGUGGAAAGCUUUUUCGGUGUGGGAUGAGCUCGCGGCCUAUCAGCUUGUUGGUGGGGUAAUGGCCUACCAAGGCGUCGACGGGUAGCCGGCCUGAGAGGGUGUACGGCCACAUUGGGACUGAGGUACGGCCCAGACUCCAACGGGAGGCAGCAGUGGGGAGUAUUGCACAAUGGGCGCAAGCCUGAUGCAGCGACGCCGCGUGGGGGAUGACGGCCUUCGGGUUGUAAACUCCUUUCGUCAGGGACGAAGCGAAAGUGACGGUACCUGGAUAAGAAGCACCGGCUAACUACGUG
RNAcentral lists this ribosomal RNA (466 nucleotides) under uncultured bacterium. RNAcentral's name for it is "partial 16S ribosomal RNA". It matches the Rfam family "Bacterial small subunit ribosomal RNA", at positions 28 to 507 of the family's 1533-position model. The record is from RNAcentral.